AUACAGAGGGUGCGAGCGUUAAUCGGAAUUACUGGGCGUAAAGCGCGCGUAGGCGGCUUGGUCAGUCGGAUGUGAAAGCCCUGGGCUCAACCUGGGAAUUGCAUUCGAUACUGCCAAGCUAGAGUAUGUGAGAGGGAAGUGGAAUUUCCGGUGUAGCGGUGAAAUGCGUAGAUAUCGGAAAGAACACCAGUGGCGAAGGCGACUUCCUGGCCCAAUACUGACGCUGAGGUGCGAAAGCGUGGGGAGCGAACAGAAUUAGAAACCCUAGUAGUCC
This 274-nucleotide ribosomal RNA is filed under the name uncultured bacterium. RNAcentral describes it as "partial 16S ribosomal RNA". It matches the Rfam family "Bacterial small subunit ribosomal RNA", at positions 523 to 796 of the family's 1533-position model. The record is from RNAcentral.